Molecule: ribosomal RNA, 422 nt
Filed under: uncultured Flavobacterium sp.
Lineage: Bacteria; Pseudomonadati; Bacteroidota; Flavobacteriia; Flavobacteriales; Flavobacteriaceae
Description: bacterial SSU rRNA
Rfam family: Bacterial small subunit ribosomal RNA
Source: RNAcentral
UGAGGAAUAUUGGACAAUGGGCGCAAGCCUGAUCCAGCCAUGCCGCGUGCAGGAAGAAGCAUCUAUGGUGUGUAAACUGCUUUUGUACGGGAAGAAACACUCCUUCGUGAAGGAGCUUGACGGUACCGUAAGAAUAAGGAUCGGCUAACUCCGUGCCAGCAGCCGCGGUAAUACGGAGGAUCCAAGCGUUAUCCGGAAUCAUUGGGUUUAAAGGGUCCGUAGGCGGUUUGGUAAGUCAGUGGUGAAAGCCCGCAGCUCAACUGUGGAACGGCCAUUGAUACUGCCAGACUUGAAUUACAAGGAAGUAACUAGAAUAUGUAGUGUAGCGGUGAAAUGCUUAGAUAUUACAUGGAAUACCAAUUGCGAAGGCAGGUUACUACUUGUGGAUUGACGCUGAUGGACGAAAGCGUGGGGAGCGAACA